AGUUUCCAAAUUUGAGUCCCUGGCCAUUAAGGGAUGAGAUUCAAGUGCUUUGUGCACGUGGCCCCUUAAGCCCAUGGAGACACUGGGACAUUAGUGGGGCUCCAGAUGGGCACGAGGGGCCUCCCACCUGGCUGCUGCUUCCCAGGAGGAACAUCCAGGAUAAGCAGUGGCUGCUGAUCCAGAAAGCAGCGCUGGAGUUAGGGACUGUGUUCCAGCCACUCGUCUGCCACACGCGAGGACUGACAGCAGGAAAACCAAAAAUAAAUCUCCUGACAAAAGGGAAUCAAGCAACCCACUGAAAACCAAGGCAUUCCACUUGGACUCUGACUUAGGCCAAGAUCUCCAGGGUUUUUUUUUUUUAAACAAGGAAGAAAGACUGAUCCCUCCGCAAGCAAAGAACCCCAGGACUGCAAGAAAAGUUCCAUUAUUCCAAGUAUUGCAUCAUAAAGGUUCUCCUCAAACAUCCUCCUGCCCAGUCCAAACAACACCAACACAUUCACCCCCCAAAAGGCAGGAAGGUAAAGAACUGGAAAAUCCACACGAAGUUUUCCUACAAGCAAUUACCAGUUCUAAAUCCCUACUGAUAACGGCGGCAAAAAGAGCUUAAAAACCCAAAUAAAAGGAAACUGUUG
This is a long non-coding RNA of Corapipo altera (White-ruffed manakin), 632 nucleotides long. RefSeq lists it as uncharacterized. NCBI's taxonomy places the organism in Eukaryota, Metazoa, Chordata, Aves, Passeriformes, Pipridae. The transcript is spliced from 2 exons. The record is from RefSeq and is a predicted model, not a curated record.